AUUAAAAUAGUUUAAUAAAACAUUAUAUUUUCAUUAUAAAAAUAGAUUAUAUCUUUUUAAUA
Molecule: transfer RNA, 62 nt
Filed under: Henosepilachna vigintioctopunctata
Lineage: Eukaryota; Metazoa; Arthropoda; Insecta; Coleoptera; Coccinellidae
Description: tRNA-Glu
Source: RNAcentral